This 253-nucleotide ribosomal RNA is filed under the name uncultured bacterium. RNAcentral describes it as "partial 16S ribosomal RNA". It matches the Rfam family "Bacterial small subunit ribosomal RNA", at positions 524 to 776 of the family's 1533-position model. The record is from RNAcentral.
UACGUAGGGCGCAAGCGUUGUCCGGAAUUAUUGGGCGUAAAGAGCUCGUAGGCGGUUUGUCGCGUCUGCUGUGAAAACUCGAGGCUCAACCUCGGGCUUGCAGUGGGUACGGGCAGACUAGAGUGCGGUAGGGGUGACUGGAAUUCCUGGUGUAGCGGUGGAAUGCGCAGAUAUCAGGAGGAACACCGGUGGCGAAGGCGGCAUCCUGGACCGGCAUUGACGCUGAGGAGCGAAAGCCAGGGGAGCAAACGGG